RNAcentral lists this unclassified non-coding RNA (3471 nucleotides) under Leishmania donovani. Its description in RNAcentral is "gene:LdHU3.06.0030(CDS-product:hypothetical_prote in_conserved)". Lineage: Eukaryota; Euglenozoa; Kinetoplastea; Trypanosomatida; Trypanosomatidae. The record is from RNAcentral.
CUCCUUUCGCGUACCCCUGUGCAUGCUGUCACAGAGACGCACCUCGCUACUGCACACGUGUAUCACGCACAACAGCAGCACCACUGUUGCUGCCCCCCUCAUCCUCAUCCAUGUCCAUUAGCUCACUGCCUCUGGAGGGGCUGACCGCGAUCGCAGACUUUUUCGACCCCGCCUCCGUCCCCCUCGCCUUCACAAGCGUGUCGCCUGCUGGGCGAGUUGCGGGGGAGCUCGCUGCCUUCGCCUGCCCUGCGCACUGCUAUGGCCAUGCCGCGUCACCGCACACCCCAAUGCUGAGCAUGGACCCGUCCCUCAUGGAGCGCGUUGCUGUGAUAACUGACACGCAGCACUUGAAGAAUGCGGAGUGGUGGAUGGUGCGGAGCCGCUGCAACGCCGACGACGACCCGUACCCAUACCCUCUCCGCAGCGUGUACUUCUGCCUGAGCUCGGCACUGGAACUGUCUGUGGAUCUCCUCGCCCGCGUGCCUCUCUGCGCGUCCACAGUAACGAAACUCAACCUGAAUGCACGCUGCGACAGCCACAAUCACAUCUCGAGCCUCGGCGCCAUCUCUCGCCUCGUCCACUUGCGCGAGCUCAUCAUGAAGAACACGACAGUGCUGCAGUCCACUCGCCAGCUACCCAUGGUCAUGACACAGGAGCUACACGCGGUCUUCCGUAAGCUGCGCAAGCUCGUUGUUGGUGACUUCUACCUAGUUAAGCAUCUCCCCCUGCACGACCUGCCAGAGUUGGAGGAAGUAGACCUGAGUGGAACCGGUGUCACGAACGGCGUCGUGCAGGCACUGUCGAGCUGCCACCGCGUGCACACCCUCACACUAAGCGGUUGCGUCGGCAUCGACUCCUUCGCUCCCUUGACCGCGCUGACGCGCCUUUCUCAGCUUGACUUGUCGCACACACGCCUCGACAACACGGAGCUUCUGCACCUCUGCCGCAGCUGCCCACAGCUGUUCUUUCUAGCACUCAAUAGCUGCAACCGCAUCACCGACUUCUCUCCUCUAGCGCUGCUAGAGGACUUGACAUACCUCCACGUGGCCCGAACGCGCUUCCGCAACUCUGACCUCGAGCGUAUCCAUGCUUUCCCAGAGCUGGAGGAAGUGCACAUGUCCUCAUGUCGCGUCGUCGACAUUUUCACGCCGCUAGCGGAUCUGCGAACGCUGCGGAUGCUUGACGUGCGGGACACGUGGAUGGACGACGCCGGUGUCGAGGCUGUCGCGCGGUGCUGCCAGCUGCUACGUCUUAACAUGAGCGCCUGCCCUGCCAUCGAGCACUUCUCUCCACUUGCACGGCUCUCGUUGCUGGAGGAGCUUAACCUCUCUUGCUCGCCGGUGACGGACACGUGCCUAGCAACUCUCUGCACCGCCGCGCCGAGUCUACGCGUCUUCCUGCUCAAUGGGUGUCGUCUUGUGAGCGACUUCACGCCGCUUGGUAUCCUCGGAUCACUCGAGGAGGUCGGCGCCUGCGACACGGCCUUCAACGACGCCGCCCUUGAGGCCGUGGCACAGUGUCCGCAGCUGACGAAGCUGCACCUGCACGUGUGCACCGGACUCACAUCGUUGGCCCCCUUGGCGGCUUGUUCUCAUCUCAUCUACCUCGGCAUCGGUGGCACGCGUUUCUCGAGCAAUGCUUCUGAGCGCGAGUGCGCCUCUCUCCAGGAGCGCGGCGUGCGGCUCAGCCAUCAGGUGUUUCUUGGCACGGACUUUUAGCCACCCCUUGAUGUGGUGCCACACGCAUUGCAGCCGACCACCUUCCCUGCAGCGCUCCCCCGUGCACUCUGAUGGAGAUGACGCCAGUGUGUUCAACAACAGAAGAGAAAGUGGCAUCGCUAGUAAGUGCUAUGUGCAUCUCUCUUUUGGUGGUUAGACUCUUUUCUUUUGCUUCCUCUGCUGCUGCUCUUUUCCUCUUCUUUCCUCAAACACCCUUCAUGUAGGCGUGGCACCAGUGAGUAUAUGUGUGUCUGUGUCUCCGUGCACGCAUACACUGUCUCAUAGCUCCCUUCACCUUCCUCUCUUUUUUUUUUUCAGCCUUCUGGGAGGAGAUGAUGCACUCUCACAUCUUGUUCGCCAAAGCCGUCACGGUGCCACGGAGCCCGUAGGCAGACCCUCGCUGCUCUCUCACUUUCUAUCCAGCUCUCAAUUGCACUUUCCAUUUCUGUCUUGUUCUCACGCUCUUUCUUCGCUUAUUAAUCUGCUCCGUGGCACCAGUUCUAUGGCUGCCUUUUGCCGCUUACGGCGGUACAACGUGAGGCUCUGUCUUUUCCUCUCUUACACUCUGUUACCUGUGCAACCAGCAUCUCUGCUUCUCGCUCUUCGUCAGCUUUUCUUGUAUCUUCUUCUCUCUCCCUGUCUUGCGUAGGAUCUGCUUUUCAUUUGUUUUCCUCGUGUCUGCUGGGAUCGUGCCGUGCGGUGAGAUGCACAAGUGCGGAACCCGUGCGCACUCGGAUACACAUAUAUACAUGCUCAUACAUGAGCACAGCAGCCCGAGGCACGGAUGUCUGGGCUUCCUAUACACACAUCCUGUCAAGUGCCAGCCCACGUUCGGCUCUCAUCGCACGACAAGGAUGGCAGCGCCUGCACCGCCCUCCUCUUCUUUCCAGCGUUCUCGUCAGCAUAGCCUCCACAACUCUGCCCACAUGAACACUUCUUCGCGCCACCCAUUUUCGUUAUAUCAACAGCACUACCGACAUCCCCCUACGAGAAAGCAAAAAGAAGGAUGUCGACUCAUCCAUCUUACCAAAACGCCUUUUUUCUUUAUGUCUUUUAUGCUCUUCCCACUCGCCGAUGAUUCCGUGACCCUUCCAUCUCCGUGUGCGUUUUCUGUUGCUGUGUUCCGUGUUGUAUGAGUGUGCUUGUGUGCGCGUGUUCCCUGAUAACCCUUCUCUCUUUGUUAUUCUUGCUCCGCCUUGUCCACUACAGUCAUCACUGCCUUUAUCGUGAGUGUCGUGCCGGCGUUCAUCAACCAUCUCUGUUUCUGCCUAUGAGCGUGGUGGUGGAGGCUACGUCAUAUCUCACACUCAGUGCCCCCACACCGACUCACGCAUGUCCGAUCUGACGUACCACGGCACGCACGAUCAAACGAACGGUGCCAUCUGCUCUACGUUUUUCUUUCUUCCCUUUGCCUCUCUCUAUUUCGUUGCCUCUCUUCUACGACGCCACGCGCACUUCUCCCUCGCCUCGAGCCUCACGACUCUUUCUUACUGGAUAUAUGUGCCCCUCUGUUUCUUUCACUGUGCGUGUGUGACACAUUCCUGACGAUUGACUCAGCUCUUCCGUUCUUCGCAUUUCAUCUUCACUGUUCCUCAUGCUUCACCCACUCGUUCACUCAUACACUCUCUCGAUGUGUCUGUGUCACACAAACGCACAUGCAUGCGCGAGUAUCUUCGCGUGACUUGUUGCUCGUCUGUCAGCGAUUACCCCAUUGUGUUUCUGGUGUGUAUCGACUUGUCCUGCAAGAUGUGUU